RNAcentral lists this small nuclear RNA (149 nucleotides) under Vigna radiata var. radiata (mung bean). RNAcentral describes it as "snRNA U1". It matches the Rfam family "U1 spliceosomal RNA". Rfam says of the family: U1 is a small nuclear RNA (snRNA) component of the spliceosome (involved in pre-mRNA splicing). Its 5' end forms complementary base pairs with the 5' splice junction, thus defining the 5' donor site of an intron. The record is from RNAcentral. Lineage: Eukaryota; Viridiplantae; Streptophyta; Magnoliopsida; Fabales; Fabaceae.
UUUAUUACCUGGACGGAUCAAUGGGUGAUCAAGAAGCCCAUGGUCUAUGACACUGACUUCCAUUGCACUUGAGAGGGGUGUUUUGCCCAAGUGACAAACCAUAGGUCACAAUUUGUGGGGGAGGAGGCUUGUGUUCGUGCGGUCCCUAU